RNAcentral lists this transfer RNA (71 nucleotides) under Bos taurus (domestic cattle). It matches the Rfam family "tRNA". Rfam says of the family: Transfer RNA (tRNA) molecules are approximately 80 nucleotides in length. Their secondary structure includes four short double-helical elements and three loops (D, anti-codon, and T loops). The record is from Rfam by way of RNAcentral. Lineage: Eukaryota; Metazoa; Chordata; Mammalia; Artiodactyla; Bovidae. RNAcentral also lists the same sequence under 1 other name.
UUCCUGUUGGCUCAGCGGUAAAGAAUCUGCCUGCAGUGCAGGAGACACAGGUUUGAUCCCUGGAUUGGGAA